ACGCUCGACACCUACGGAGCAGCAGUGGGGAAUAUUGCACAAUGGGGGAAACCCUGAUGCAGCGACGCCGCGUGAGCGAAGAAGUAUUUCGGUAUGUAAAGCUCUAUCAGCAGGGAAGAAACUGACGGUACCUGACUAAGAAGCACCGGCUAAAUACGUGCCAACAGCCGCGGUAAUCUGAGCGGGCUGGCAAGGC
Molecule: ribosomal RNA, 196 nt
Filed under: uncultured bacterium
Lineage: Bacteria
Description: partial 16S ribosomal RNA
Rfam family: Bacterial small subunit ribosomal RNA
Source: RNAcentral